CCCUUAGAUGUCCGGGGCCGCACGCGCGCUACACUGAAGGAAUCAGCGUGGCUUUCUCCCUGACCCGAAAGGGUUGGGAAACCCGUUGAAUCUCCUUCGUGAUAGGGAUUGGGGCUUGAAAUUGUUCCCCAUGAACGAGGAAUUCCCAGUAAGCGCGAGUCAUAAGCUCGCGUUGAUUACGUCCCUGCCCUUUGUACACACCGCCCGUCGCUACUACCGAUUGAACGGUUUAGUGAGGGCCUCGGAUUGGUCUCGGCCCGCUCUUUACCGGGCGGCGCCGUUGGUCGAGAAGACGCUCGAACUUGAUCUUUUAGAGGAAGUAAAAGUCGUAACA
Molecule: ribosomal RNA, 334 nt
Filed under: uncultured eukaryote
Lineage: Eukaryota
Description: partial 18S ribosomal RNA
Rfam family: Eukaryotic small subunit ribosomal RNA
Source: RNAcentral